RNAcentral lists this ribosomal RNA (498 nucleotides) under uncultured bacterium. Its description in RNAcentral is "partial 16S ribosomal RNA". It matches the Rfam family "Bacterial small subunit ribosomal RNA", at positions 28 to 508 of the family's 1533-position model. The record is from RNAcentral.
GAUGAACGCUGGCGGCGUGCCUAAUACAUGCAAGUCGAGCGAACGGACGAGAAGCUUGCUUUUCUGAUGUUAGCGGCGGACGGGUGAGUAACACGUGGAUAACCUACCUAUAAGACUGGGAUAACUUCGGGAAACCGGAGCUAAUACCGGAUAAUAUUUUGAACCGCAUGGUUCAAAAGUGAAAGACGGUCUUGCUGUCACUUAUAGAUGGAUCCGCGCUGCAUUAGCUAGUUGGUAAGGUAACGGCUUACCAAGGCAACGAUGCAUAGCCGACCUGAGAGGGUGAUCGGCCACACUGGGACUGAGACACGGUCCAGACUCCUACGGGAGGCAGCAGUAGGGAAUCUUCCGCAAUGGGCGAAAGCCUGACAGAGCAACGCCGCGUGAGUGAUGAAGGUCUUCGGAUCUUAAAACUCUGUUAUUAGGGAAGAACAUAUGUGUAAGUAACUGUGCACAUCUUGACGGUACCUAAUCAGAAAGCCACGGCUAACUACGUGC